Molecule: ribosomal RNA, 782 nt
Filed under: uncultured bacterium
Lineage: Bacteria
Description: bacterial SSU rRNA
Rfam family: Bacterial small subunit ribosomal RNA
Source: RNAcentral
AGAGUUUGAUCAUGGCUCAGGAUGAACGCUGGCGGCGUGCUUAACACAUGCAAGUCGAACGAUGAUCCCCAGCUUGCUGGGGGGAUUAGUGGCGAACGGGUGAGUAACACGUGAGUAACCUGCCCUUGACUCUGGGAUAAGCCUGGGAAACUGGGUCUAAUACCGGAUAUGACUCCUCAUCGCAUGGUGGGGGGUGGAAAGCUUUUGCGGUUUUGGAUGGACUCGCGGCCUAUCAGCUUGUUGGUGAGGUAAUGGCUCACCAAGGCGACGACGGGUAGCCGGCCUGAGAGGGUGACCGGCCACACUGGGACUGAGACACGGCCCAGACUCCUACGGGAGGCAGCAGUGGGGAAUAUUGCACAAUGGGCGAAAGCCUGAUGCAGCGACGCCGCGUGAGGGAUGACGGCCUUCGGGUUGUAAACCUCUUUCAGUAGGGAAGAAGCGAAAGUGACGGUACCUGCAGAAGAAGCGCCGGCUAACUACGUGCCAGCAGCCGCGGUAAUACGUAGGGCGCAAGCGUUAUCCGGAAUUAUUGGGCGUAAAGAUCUCGUAGGCGGUUUGUCGCGUCUGCCGUGAAAGUCCGGGGCUCAACUCCGGAUCUGCGGUGGGUACGGGCAGGCUAGAGUGAUGUAGGGGAGACUGGAAUUCCUGGUGUAGCGGUGAAAUGCGCAGAUAUCAGGAGGAACACCGAUGGCGAAGGCAGGUCUCUGGGCAUUAACUGACGCUGAGGAGCGAAAACAUGGGGAGCGAACAGGAUUAGAUACCCUGGUAGUCCAUGCCGU